CCUACGGGAGGCAGCAGUGGGGAAUAUUGCACAAUGGGGGGCACCUUGAUGCAGCAACGCCGCGUGGGUGCAGAAGUACUCCGGUAUGUAAAGCCCUGUCAGCAGGGACGAAAAUGACGGUACCUGACCAAGAAGCCCCGUCUAACUACGUGCCAGCAGCCGCGGUAAUACGUAGGGGGCAAGCGUUAUCCGGAUUUACUGGGUGUAAAGGGGACGUAGACGGCAAGGCAAGUCUGGAGUGAAAGCCCGUGGCCAAACCACGGGACUGCUUUGGAAACUGUUGUGCUGGAGUGCAGGAGGGGUAAGCGGAAUGCCUAGUGUAGCGGUGAAAUGCGUAGAUAGUAGGAGGAACACCGGUGGCGAAGGCGGCUUACGGGACUGUAACUGACGUUGAGGCUCGAAGGCGUGGGGAGCAAACAGGAUUAGAUACCCGAGUAGUC
This 440-nucleotide ribosomal RNA is filed under the name uncultured bacterium. RNAcentral's name for it is "partial 16S ribosomal RNA". It matches the Rfam family "Bacterial small subunit ribosomal RNA", at positions 338 to 795 of the family's 1533-position model. The record is from RNAcentral.